CGGGGCGGAGCGCAGCCGGGUUGGCGCACCAGUCUGGGGGACUGGAGGUCGCGAGUUCGAAUCUCGCCGCUCCGA
This 75-nucleotide transfer RNA is filed under the name Xanthobacteraceae bacterium. RNAcentral's name for it is "tRNA-Pro". It matches the Rfam family "tRNA". From Rfam's summary of the family: Transfer RNA (tRNA) molecules are approximately 80 nucleotides in length. Their secondary structure includes four short double-helical elements and three loops (D, anti-codon, and T loops). The record is from RNAcentral. Lineage: Bacteria; Pseudomonadati; Pseudomonadota; Alphaproteobacteria; Hyphomicrobiales; Xanthobacteraceae.